AAGCCGAUGAUGAUUUAAUUAUAAAAUGUUGGAAUUACCGACUGAUUAUUCAUUGAUGAUAACUAGGCUGCCUGAGGCUUCUU
Molecule: small nucleolar RNA, 83 nt
Organism: Lactuca sativa (garden lettuce)
Lineage: Eukaryota; Viridiplantae; Streptophyta; Magnoliopsida; Asterales; Asteraceae
Source: RefSeq, a predicted model, not a curated record